GACGAACGCUGGCGGCGUGCUUAACACAUGCAAGUCGAGCGGUAAGGCCCUUUCGGGGGUACACGAGCGGCGAACGGGUGAGUAACUACGUGGGUGACCUGCCCUCAGCUCUGGGAUAAGCCCGGGAAACUGGGUCUAAUACUGGAUAUGACUCCAUGACGCAUGUUGUGGGGUGGAAAGCCUUGUGCGGCUGAGGAUGGGCCCGCGGCCUAUCAGCUUGUUGGUGGGG
Molecule: ribosomal RNA, 229 nt
Filed under: uncultured bacterium
Lineage: Bacteria
Description: partial 16S ribosomal RNA
Rfam family: Bacterial small subunit ribosomal RNA
Source: RNAcentral